GCAAAAGCCCUGCGCAGCAGCAGGGUGUGAACCCCGUCAGGUCCGGAAGGAAGCAGCGGUAAAUACUUUUUGCUUCGUGCCGCAGCAAGUUUUUGCCCG
Molecule: signal recognition particle RNA, 99 nt
Filed under: Candidatus Magnetovum chiemense
Lineage: Bacteria; Pseudomonadati; Nitrospirota; Nitrospiria; Nitrospirales; Nitrospiraceae
Description: Candidatus Magnetoovum chiemensis Bacterial small signal recognition particle RNA
Rfam family: Bacterial small signal recognition particle RNA
About the family: The signal recognition particle (SRP) is a universally conserved ribonucleoprotein involved in the co-translational targeting of proteins to membranes.
Source: Rfam by way of RNAcentral